This 251-nucleotide ribosomal RNA is filed under the name uncultured prokaryote. Its description in RNAcentral is "partial 16S rRNA". It matches the Rfam family "Bacterial small subunit ribosomal RNA", at positions 525 to 775 of the family's 1533-position model. The record is from RNAcentral.
ACGGAGGGUGCAAGCGUUAUCCGGAUUUAUUGGGUUUAAAGGGUGCGUAGGCGGUUAUAUAAGUCAGCGGUGAAAUUUUUCGGCUCAACCGGAAACAUGCCGUUGAUACUGUAUAGCUUGAAUAUGGUUGCUGUGAGUGGAAUGUGUAGUGUAGCGGUGAAAUGCUUAGAUAUUACACAGAAUAUCGAUUGCGAAGGCAACUCACAAAGCCAUUAUUGACGCUGAGGCACGAAAGUGUGGGGAUCAAACAG